Molecule: ribosomal RNA, 425 nt
Filed under: uncultured bacterium
Lineage: Bacteria
Description: bacterial SSU rRNA
Rfam family: Bacterial small subunit ribosomal RNA
Source: RNAcentral
GGGGAAUUUUGGACAAUGGGGGCAACCCUGAUCCAGCAAUGCCGCGUGAGUGAAGAAGGCCCUCGGGUUGUAAAGCUCUUUUGUCAGGGAAGAAACGGAGUUCUCUAAUAUAGGAUUCUAAUGACGGUACCUGAAGAAUAAGCACCGGCUAACUACGUGCCAGCAGCCGCGGUAAUACGUAGGGUGCAAGCGUUAAUCGGAAUUACUGGGCGUAAAGCGUGUGCAGGCGGUUUUGUAAGUCUGAUGUGAAAUCCCCGGGCUCAACCUGGGAACUGCAUUGGAGACUGCAAGGCUAGAGUGUGUCAGAGGGGGGUAGAAUUCCACGUGUAGCAGUGAAAUGCGUAGAGAUGUGGAGGAAUACCGAUGGCGAAGGCAGCCCCCUGGGAUAACACUGACGCUCAUGCACGAAAGCGUGGGGAGCAAAC